CAUUCCUACGGGGCGCAGCAGUAGGGAAUCUUCCACGAUGGGCGAAAGCCUGAUGGAGCAACGCCGCGUGGGUGAAGGAGGUCUUCGGAUCGUAAAACCCUGUUGCUAGAGAAGAAAGUGCGUGAGAGUAACUGUUCACAUUUCGACGGUAUCUAACCAGAGAGCCACGGCUAACUACGUGCCAGCAGCCGCGGUAAUACGUAGGUGGCAAGCGUUAUCCGGAUUUAUUGGGCGUAAAGGGAACGCAGGCGGUCUUUUAAGUCUGAUGUGAAAGCCUUCGGCUUAACCGGAGUAGUGCAUUGGAA
Molecule: ribosomal RNA, 305 nt
Filed under: uncultured bacterium
Lineage: Bacteria
Description: bacterial SSU rRNA
Rfam family: Bacterial small subunit ribosomal RNA
Source: RNAcentral